UUUUUGGGGGGGGGAGUUCAGAUUUCUCUGUUGUAUGAAGAAAAAUGCAAUCUCAACUGAAAGAUACUGAUAUAGAUAUCUAUUUUGAUACAUAAAAAUAUUUAAAAAUAUUUACUGGAUUAGUGCAAUAAAAUAUGUAUUAGCUAUUGCUUAUCUAUCAUUAUAAUCAUUAAAAAAUAAAUUGUGUAUAUUUCAUUUAUCUUGUUGAUUAAUGUUGUUAUUGGGUAACAAAUCUUCUGGUAACAAAUCAUUUUUGCCUCUUUAUCCAUUUUGUAGGCUAUAGAUUUUAUAGGUUAUUUCAUAUCAAAGCAUCACUUGGCUCUUAAUUAGAAAUGAUAAUACUUUGAGCUGUUUAACAAAUUAGUAUUGUAAGUGUGUGUGUGUAGUUAUAAUCUGAUACAUGCCAACACAAAAAACCUUGUGUAGUUGCUAAACUCUUCUGUAAAUAUUGAUAAAUCAUGCUUCUUUACAAAUUUACAUAAAUUCCUAAUAAUUGAUAAGUCAUAACUAAACAUAAUUUUAACUCCCACAUUUGAUUAACAGACCUCUAGUGACUUAGAACUGAUUAAUAGAGGUAAAUUGUCUGCAUUCCAAAAGAUGAAUACACUGUAUGAAAAAAUAAUGCACUUAUGAGAUAGCAGAAUAUAAACUAAAUUCAAAAAUCCAUAUUAUAAGUAAGAGCAAUAAAUAAAAAAUCAUAUUAUAAAGACAAGAGCCUUAUUCCAGUUUUUGUAAUAUUUCUAAUUCUAAGUUAUUCAAUUCGCAUAUUAACAAUAUAACUUAUUAACCAUAUGGACAAAUUUUGGUGAAUUAAUUUUAAGCUUCUAUUGCGGACAUUUGACCAGUGUUAAAGGAGUUCUUGAUAAUAAAUGCAAAUUUAUAUUUGGCAAAUGUUCAACAUUUUCUUGAAGCAAAUAAGAGAGGAGACAUUAGCAAAGUAUAAUGAUCCCUCCAAUUUAAUGAGAUAUUAAGAAAAUAAUCUUGGACGAUGUAAUUUACUAUGCAACAUCACAUGCAUAUAUGCCUGCCUACAGUUUAUAUGACUGUAUAUCGAAAUUUACAAAUCAUAACAAUAAUGUUACAAAGUUGUAUUGCUAAUAAAAAAGUGUACUUAAAAAUUAUUUUGCAAUAAGGAAACCACAAAAUGUUUCAGAUGUAUUCAAUAUUCCAUUAUGAUAAUUCAGUAAACAAUUUUACAGAAAAUACAUUCAAAUACUUUUGUUGUCAACCAACCAUUUAAAUUAAAUAACAUGCAUUAUUUCAGCUAAUAUCUAGUUAGCAAAUCAUCAGAUCACUGAACCAGGUAUCAAAGAAUACGUAUUAAGAGAGUAUAUCUCCCUUGGAGGCAGAGGGAAGAUCAUAAAAAAGGACAACACUGUUAACACUCAGUCAUUGAACUGGAAUCACUUGGAUGAAAAGAAAGCCAGUACAUUGACAAUCACAUCAAUUCAUUAUUUACACUUCAUUAGUUAAUCAGUUCUCCAAUUUCCUCCUCCUUUGUGGCAAAAGAGGAUCUUAGAAAAGAAAGUGCCUUCUAUAGAGUGGGGCCAAAGAUUGAAUGUAAUUGAGCUAGGGAACUGCUUCUCAACAUGAAAAAAGAAGUUUAAGUAAACACAGAGUAGAGGGAACUGGAAACAUUUGCCCAGAGAUGUUUCAUAGUUGCUGUAGACCACUGAGUUCUUUGAGGCCCAAACACUUUAUAUUUCCCUCUAUUAAUCCUUCCAUUUAUUUCACCCCUGUUUUUGUCAUCAUUAUGUUUAGUGUCUUUUUAGUUCACAGAUGUCUGGACAAAGAAAAGCCAAAUUUACCCCUACUAUGAUCACAGAUCCCGGAUGUCCAGCCUAUCACUGUAAAUAGAUAAGCCUUUUAGUGUGUCCUAAGCAGGUGUUUAUGGAUUUUGCAAACACAAGGAAAGUGGAUUUUGCAAAUGAAAGGUUAGUUUGUAACAGAGUGACUUACUCUAAAGCAGUUAUCCACUUGCUCCCUCUUGAGAAAGAAUCUGUUUUCCCUGGGAGUAUUAUUUCCCAUUUAUCCAGGUAAUUUGAUUUGUGCAUUGAAGUAUGCCUGGAAGUGAUAUGAGCAGAAAUUGUAAAUGAAGCUUGCAGUUUGGACUGAUACCUUAUACCCUGCUGGUCUGCCAUAAAAAUGGUAUGUUCCAUGUAGCUUUGACCCUUGAUGCCUAAACACACUUGAAAAAGAAUUGACUCAUAUGCCAAAGCCAGGUAACUGGAUCCAAGCCAUGAGAACCCUGUCCAAGCCCAGCUAGAUCACAGUCUGGAGCAGUGCUUCUCCAAGGGAACUGCUGUGCACAGUGAACAAGGGAGAAAAAAAAAAAUGUUUUCGAUAGAAACACAUUAUUAUUUAACCUUAGAAAGAUUUUUUUUUCUCUCCAUGAAGUGUGAUAUAUUUAAUUGUGAACAUAAGGUAAUGCUUAACAACUCUUUAGCUUAAGUUUAUGGACCACUGUAAAAUUACAUAGGAAUACAUACUUACGGUAGCUUAUUUAUGAUAGCUUAUUUAUGAUACAAAGUAUGGAUCCUACAAUUUAACAGAGCAUUAUAACAGAUGGAGACUGUGGUACAAUUAUUUUUAGAAUUGGUUUGCAAUGUUUAUUUUUGGAAAUAUUAGAUACUGUUAUAACUUCCAUCUGUAAUUUUUUUUAUUUAAGUAGAAAUUGUUUUAUUUCUUAUGGAAAUAAGUCUUAAUUUACUUCAUGUGAAAGGGUCCUUCAACACAAUAUUUUCAUUUAUAUCCUAUCUAAAUUUACACUAAAUGCAUUUACACUGCCUGCAUUUAGAUCACAUGCCUAAAAUAUAUUAAAAUGAUAUCUCAUAUUAAAAUGAUAUCUCAGAUAAAAGUUUUCUUCUUAAAGCCUAAAUUGAAAUAAGGCUCAUCAGGUAGUAGCACUGAGUUGGGACUUCCUGUUAGAAUUAGGAUUGACGGAGGAGUCUAAACAAAAAAACAAAACAAAACAAAACAAAAAAAAUCUUUCAAGGAGUUGAAUCAUCUGUGCAUUGGAUGUAAGAAUAUAACACAGCUGGUAAAUUGGAAGGCCUUAGUAUCCCCCAUCUCAUACCUAUCAUAUUUUUUUAAUACGCAAUGUUGAUAUAUUCUCCUUCAUAUAUACACUGUGGAUAAAUGUAUGUUCUAAAACAUUAUCUUUGCUAAUUUGAAGCACAGUCUGCCUAUGCUAAAAACUACACUUUUGCUCCUCCUUUUACUUCCAGAUCUUAGACCCUAAGUCUCUGAUAGAGAAAUUCUAUAGCUUCGAAUCAGAAAAAGUUUGGAGACUCCAAAACAGAGGAAAUAGAGCUAGUGACUGACAUUACAUUCUAGUAUGGUUGGAAUUUAAUUGCACAUGGGAUUUUGGAGCAUCUAAGAAUCUAUGAUAAAUAAUAUCAUUGUAUUGGUAUGGGGGAAAGUUUUAAGUCUUUUGCAAGGUAAGAAAAUAAUCAGAACUGUGCACUGGGGAAAUGUUUGUUGUGACAAAGUAAGUGAUACAUUUGUGACUAAAAACUGGGUGCAAAGAAACAAGGUAGGAAUUGAUCACUCUCUAGGAGGAAUUGAGAAAGCUUAAUGUAGUUGAUGGUGCAAAGGAGGAGUAGUACAAAUUAUGCUAUUCGAUUGAUUCCACAGAACUUGUUGUCAGGAGUAGAGGGGAGGAAAAAAGUUUUGAAUGAAACUGAGAUUCUCAGGUAGCUUAAUUUACCCAGACAAGACGAGAGUUUGGGAUGUAGAUGCAAAAGAAUGAUGCUGCACAUUUACUUAAUUUGUGUAUUUCUCAAAUAUCUAUAAGACAAAUAAAUUAUACUGUCAGAAAUUAUGUGGUCUUUAAAAGCAUUUAUUAAUGUUUUCAUGCAUCCAAAAGCAUUCAAUUCAUUCAAAUAUCCUGUAAAUAAGAACUUAAGCCCUAUUGGAAUUUAUUACAAUUUGUAAUGAGAUGAAGUAUUCGUACACCGAUUGCCUUACAUUCCAUUUUAUUUUUUAUUAUUUUUUUACAUUCCAUUUUAAAUUCAUAUAGAGGAAAACAAAUUUUACAACUCUGAUUUCACACCAAACUAUACAUCUUCUUCAAAUUAAAUGGCUAGUUUAAAUAAAUCCUUAAAAUCAUGUUUAAAUAGAAUCUGAUACAUUAAUGUUAUGUUUCAAUUUGACUAACUUUCAUACUUGAACUAAAUCCAUUUCAAGGACGCACAUUUAUGUGUGGAAGAAAGGGAGUGCUAAGAGGUAUAAUAAUUUCCCCCAUUUAUAGCCAUGUGAAGGCUUAUUUCAUUACUAGCUGAAGACAUGCAUUAAAUAAUAGAUGAUAAACUGCAUAGCUUUUUGUUUCAUACAUUGAGGUUUUGGUUGUUGCUCUAGUUGGGUUUGAUUCUGUUUGAUUUUUACCAGAUGAAUCUUCUUUCUAUAUUCGAUAUCAGGAGCAGAUGAAAAAAAAAUCUGUUCACUGUUUCAUAUUAUCCUAUGUUAUCUGAUUACUGUUACAGAGCUUGAGGGAAGAUAAAUGAAAUGAAACCUGUAAUAGUUGGAGUUAAAAGAUAAGGGAUAUAUUCAAGGGGAAAUAGAGAAGUGGAUACAUGGAUGGAUGGAUGGUUAGAUAGAGAAAUAUUCUUAGUGAUAUAAUUACAAUCAAAGAUCUUGUUUUCUACCUCUCAUUAUCUAAACCUACAGUUGAUUUGGGUACUUCAAGCUGACGAGGCCUCUUUAAAAUGAAUACAUUAUAAUAUAAUCACUAGUGACUCAUUUAUGAAUCUACUACUAAUAAGAAUCUCCACCUUGUUCUCUACCUUGAGAGGCUGACAAGUAUGUCCUAAAACAAUGAAUGUUCUCACCCUUUUGUUUCCAAAAAGGAACCCCAACAGAAAAUGGAUAAAAGGGAUAACUAUAAAUUUAAGAUAUGUAUUCCUAUGAUUUCUUUCUUGUGGCACUGCCCUCUACGAAGGUCUCUGUUCCUUCAAAUUCUACUGGAAAACCUUAAUUUAAGAAAACUGUCUAUUCCCUAAUUAAUCAUUGAUUGAUGUAGUAACUGAUGCUUGAAAAGUUUAUGAAAACAGACCCACAAAGUAAGAAUCUGACAUUGGACUGCUUGUAUAGUAAGGAUCCCUAAGAUAACUUCCUUGACAGAGAAAAAUGGGAAAUGGGCAAUCCAUGGCAUUUGGUGGUAUCAUAAUUGGUCAGAUUAUCACUAUUUCAGCAUAGGAAGUAGCAAAGAGGGAAGGAAAGGCAUUGGGAGAACAAAUGUGUACAGUAUUUAAUUGCUGGGGUAACCAGUAGUGAUCAUUUCUAACUACCUUCAGGCGAGUGGGGGUGUUUGUGGAUUAAUGAAAUCCUGGAUCUAUAAAUCUGUGUUCCUGAAAUCUAUGAAAAAACUCAGUCUUGGAUUCCUCUUCUGAGGGCUAGCUACAUACUAUCUUCCCACUAAAAAUACUGUUAUCACUCAAUGUUCCGGUAGCAAAUAGAUAGCACAGUACUCCUAAGCCUCCUAAAAUUACAAGCCUCUUAAAAGUAUAUCACUGUGGGCAGCCCUGGUGGCUCAGAGGUUUGGCUCUGCCUUCAGCCCAGUGCCUGAUCCUGGAGUCCCGGGAUCCAGUGCUAGGUUGGGCUGCCUGCGUGGAGCUUGCUUCUCGCUCUGUGUCUCUGC
This 5638-nucleotide long non-coding RNA is filed under the name Canis lupus familiaris (dog). Its description in RNAcentral is "lncRNA (ENSCAFG00000059098.1)". The record is from RNAcentral. Lineage: Eukaryota; Metazoa; Chordata; Mammalia; Carnivora; Canidae.